UUGAGGAUGUGUAUGGCUAUGCCCUUGAGAAAACAGAGAAUUUUGCUGUUCUCGAGGGCGUCAAAUUGUUAAAGGCUGGGUGGGCUCAGCUCCGGAUGGUUAAGCACAAGUCGGAGCGUUACGUCUUCGGCCGAGACCUUGUCAUACCGCUUUGAUAUUUUGUAGUACUUCAUCUAUGCCAAGUGAGGUCUCUUAGUUCAACCGGUGUAGUCUAGUCCCGCGCGGCUGGCGUUAUGGCGUCGGUGGAAUCAAUGCAUGGAAAACGAAACAACGAAACGAGGGCAGUCUGCACGUAGUACCAGCGCCUCAAAUCCAAUCCAACUGAAACAAUCAAAAGAAGCGAUCGAAAGAAACCCUCUCCAACUACAGGCGCGUCCAAGCCAGGCGAACCAAAACAAGUCCGGCCAGGUCUUCCCUCUUCCGCCCAGCCGCACGUGCACCUUUUUCUUUUUCUUCGAUUGAUUUGAUUUGAGGGAGUGCACGUACACCUCAUACGUACGUACGUGCGUGCUUACCCUCUCUUAUUCUUCAUGUUUUUCUUUUUUAUAACGCAUCGUAGCUGCUUCAAACCUUCAACCGCAUCACGUAAAAAAAAAACCUUGAACCGCAUCACGUCAAAAAAAAAACCUUCAACCGCAUGCAUGCCGGACUAGGCACGUACACGCACACACAACUUUUACACGUGCACAUUCGCAAAAAUAAAAGACAGGACUUUUACACGUACACGUAUGUACGUGCUUUUUUCUUUUGCAAUUCACCUAGCUAGACGCGACUGCGCGCACAACACUUUUGCACAUCGUUCCUGUUAAAAAAACUUUUUAACGUCCUUCCUGUUAAAAAAAAGAACUUUUGCACGUCGUUCGUGCUCCUAUCCGUCUAUCUCCCUCAUACUACCUCCGGUCCUUUUUAGUAUCUCUACUCCUAAGGGAGCAGUUGGUAGUCUCGCUUCCAGGUGUUUUUUAGUCCCACCUCCCACGGUUUAUUUUGGUACCUCCUCCCACCUCUGACUAAGACAUCACAAACCGAAAAAACCUCCUCCUGAGGCCCGAACCCGCACCUAUCCACAUGCGACCCUCAAAAGACGUACGAAAGUUAACUUGCGACAAAAAAAACCUACGACGGUUAACCAGCGACGAGUCCUGUUCUCGAGCGAGGCCUCCCUUCGUGGCCGCCCUACAUCCCUGCGCCGCCGCGCUUCAGUCGCUGCCCUCCAUCCUCGCCGCCCUCCAUCCUGGUCGAGGUCGCCGCCCCGCUUCACUCGCCGUCCUCCAUCCGCGUCGAUCCUGGACAAGGUCGCCGCGGCCCUCCAUCACUUUGCCGCCGCUCUGAACACCUCGACGAGCCGGCGCGGGUCCUGGAUCAGGUCGCCGCUGCCCUCCAUCACUUCGCCGCCGCGCUGAACUCCUCGCCCUUGAUCCAGGAUCCGGCGCCAAUCCUGGGCGAGGAUAAGCGGACACGUCCAGGAUCCGGCCAGAACACGUCCUGGAUCCGAAAAAUAGGUAUACAAACCAUCUCAUACGUCAAUCGCAUCUCAUACAUCUCAAAGGCCAUACAAUCGCAUCUCAUACAUCUCACAGCCCAUACAUCCAUCGCAUGUCAUACAGCAAUGGCAAGUGCUUUCACAGGGAUGGAUCCGCCUGCGAGAUUGAUUUCUGUUCUACAUAGUUUAGGUUUUUUUCCAUGUUAAAACUAGACUCAAGUACACAUGUUUAAAGAUGGCAAUUGGCAAAAAAAAUACCAAGGGGUAUCCUGCAUCCUGCACUUGUAUAAAUAUGGCAAAAAAGAAAACACAAACCAUACAGGACCCUAGAGUAUGUUUCCACUUGUGCUGAACUGAAGAUAGAACAAAAACACUUGCAUUCUAAGAAAGUACAGAGAUGUAGAAGAUGUAGAUGAAAGUGCCAUUGCAGUAUUUAUGUAGAAUAAAAUACAAUUGCAGUAUAUGCUAGCAACAGGUUGCAGUAUAUAUGUAGAACAAUAACCCUUCCAGAAUGUCAUCAAAUAACUACCAUUUCUGUCUUCAUGAUUUUUGGCAUUCAAUAGUUGCAUAUGGGGAAUUCAAAAAGCACGGUCGGCGAACAUCAACCUGAAGAUGACGUAACUACAGGUAUGAUGCACUCUACCAUGUUUUCGUUUAGUUGCGAGACCUGAAUAUAUGACAGUAUGCAUAAUGUCUUCCAGGUCUUACAAGCGGGAGAAGUGAUGCAGAACACAAUGCGAGCAUCAUACCCGUAGCUGAAAUUGUUGAUAACGUCUACUCGACGGAAUCAGUCCUUACGGGCGGGAUAAAUGUUGGAGACUACAAUGCAAACUUCAUACCCUUACAUGCAGGGCGGGAACCUUCAAACGACGGGAUUCCGUCGUAUUCUGAGAAUAAUAAGGAUGGUACGACUAAGCUACGAGAUGAUACUCAAGAUGACAAAACUUCCGAGCAGCAUGCAACAGUAGCUGUAUUUAAUGAAGAAAAAAAACGUUGGCGAAACAAGGGAGCAGUUCAACGCACAGAGGCGUGAAUC
Molecule: non-coding RNA, 2516 nt
Organism: Aegilops tauschii subsp. strangulata
Lineage: Eukaryota; Viridiplantae; Streptophyta; Magnoliopsida; Poales; Poaceae
Source: RefSeq, a predicted model, not a curated record